GCCUUAGUAACUGCGAGUGAAGCGGCAAAAGCUCAAAUUUGAAAUCUGGCGUCUUCGGCGUCCGAGUUGUAAUUUGGAGAGACAUCUUCGGGGUAGGCGCUGUCCUAAGUUCCUUGGAACAGGACGUCACAGAGGGUGAGAAUCCCGUGUCUGGAUGGCUGCCCUACUCCAUGUGAAGUGUCUUCGACGAGUCGAGUUGUUUGGGAAUGCAGCUCAAAAUGGGAGGUAAAUUUCUUCUAAAGCUAAAUAUUGGCGAGAGACCGAUAGCGCACAAGUAGAGUGAUCGAAAGAUGAAAAGCACUUUGAAAAGAGAGUUAAAAAGUACGUGAAAUUGUUGAAAGGGAAGCGCUUGAGACCAGACUCGGUCAGUGGUGAUCAGCGGUGCUUCUGUACCGUGCACUUGCCAUUGACUGGGCCAGCAUCGGUUCGGACGGCGGGAUAAAGGCCUUAGGAAUGUGGCUCUCUUCGGGGAGUGUUAUAGCCUAGGGUGCAAUGCCGCCAGUCUGGACCGAGGACCGCGCUUCGGCUAGGAUGCUGGCGUAAUGGUCUUCAGCGACCCGUCUUGAAACACGGACCAAGGAGUCUAACAUCUAUGCGAGUGUUCGGGUGGAAAACCCUUGCGCGUAAUGAAAGUGAACGGAGGUGAGAACACUUCGGUGUGCAUCAUCGACCGAUCCUGAUGUCUUCGGAUGGAUUUGAGUAUGAGCAUAGCUGUUGGGACCCGAAAGAUGGUGAACUAUGCCUGAAUAGGGUGAAGCCAGAGGAAACUCUGGUGGAGGCUCGCAGCGGUUCUGACGUGCAAAUCGAUCGUCAAAUUUGGGUAUAGGGGCGAAAGACUAAUCGAACCAUCUAGUAGCUGGUUCCUGCC
Molecule: ribosomal RNA, 868 nt
Filed under: Pseudombrophila bulbifera
Lineage: Eukaryota; Fungi; Ascomycota; Pezizomycetes; Pezizales; Pyronemataceae
Description: eukaryotic LSU rRNA
Rfam family: Eukaryotic large subunit ribosomal RNA
Source: RNAcentral